This 462-nucleotide ribosomal RNA is filed under the name uncultured bacterium. Its description in RNAcentral is "partial 16S ribosomal RNA". It matches the Rfam family "Bacterial small subunit ribosomal RNA", at positions 28 to 506 of the family's 1533-position model. The record is from RNAcentral.
GAUGAACGCUGACAGAAUGCUUAACACAUGCAAGUCGAUGGGGAAGUGGUGCUUGCACCCUGGUAACCAUGGCGGACGGGUGAGUAACGCGUAAGGAACUUGCCUGCGGGACUGGGAUAACAGCAGGAAACUGCUGAUAAUACCGGAUAAGGUCAUUAAGCUGCAUAGCUUAGUGAUGAAAGGAGACGCCUGCGGAGAGCCUUGCGUCCUAUUAGCUAGUUGGAGGGGUAACGGCCCACCAAGGCGAAGAUAGGUAGCCGGCCUGAGAGGGUGGACGGCCACAAGGGGACUGAGAUACGGCCCUUACUCCUACGGGAGGCAGCAGUGGGGAAUAUUGGACAAUGGGGGCAACCCUGAUCCAGCAAUUCUGUGUGCACGAAGACGGUUUUCGGAUUGUAAAGUGCUUUCAGCAGGGAAGAAGGAAGUGACGGUACCUGCAGAAGAAGCGACGGCUAAAUACGU